AUUGAACGCUGGCGGCAGGCCUAACACAUGCAAGUCGAGCGGUAGAGAGAAGCUUGCUUCUCUUGAGAGCGGCGGACGGGUGAGUAAUGCCUAGGAAUCUGCCUGGUAGUGGGGGAUAACGCUCGGAAACGGACGCUAAUACCGCAUACGUCCUACGGGAGAAAGCAGGGGACCUUCGGGCCUUGCGCUAUCAGAUGAGCCUAGGUCGGAUUAGCUAGUUGGUGAGGUAAUGGCUCACCAAGGCGACGAUCCGUAACUGGUCUGAGAGGAUGAUCAGUCACACUGGAACUGAGACACGGUCCAGACUCCUACGGGAGGCAGCAGUGGGGAAUAUUGGACAAUGGGCGAAAGCCUGAUCCAGCCAUGCCGCGUGUGUGAAGAAGGUCUUCGGAUUGUAAAGCACUUUAAGUUGGGAGGAAGGGCAUUAACCUAAUACGUUAGUGUUUUGACGUUACCGACAGAAUAAGCACCGGCUAACUCUGUGCCAGCAGCCGCGGUAAUACAGAGGGUGCAAGCGUUAAUCGGAAUUACUGGGCGUAAAGCGCGCGUAGGUGGUUCGUUAAGUUGGAUGUGAAAUCCCCGGGCUCAACCUGGGAACUGCAUUCAAAACUGUCGAGCUAGAGUAUGGUAGAGGGUGGUGGAAUUUCCUGUGUAGCGGUGAAAUGCGUAGAUAUAGGAAGGAACACCAGUGGCGAAGGCGACCACCUGGACUGAUACUGACACUGAGGUGCGAAAGCGUGGGGAGCAAACAGG
This 753-nucleotide ribosomal RNA is filed under the name uncultured bacterium. RNAcentral's name for it is "bacterial SSU rRNA". It matches the Rfam family "Bacterial small subunit ribosomal RNA", at positions 28 to 776 of the family's 1533-position model. The record is from RNAcentral.